GAAGGUCACGGCGAGACGAGCCGUUUAUCAUUACGAUAGGUGUCAAGUGGAAGUGCGGUGAUGCAUGCAGCUGAGGCAUCCUAACAGACCGGUAGAUUUGAAC
Molecule: ribosomal RNA, 103 nt
Filed under: Erythroxylum sp. CD-2013
Lineage: Eukaryota; Viridiplantae; Streptophyta; Magnoliopsida; Malpighiales; Erythroxylaceae
Description: 4.5S ribosomal RNA
Source: RNAcentral